RNAcentral lists this ribosomal RNA (656 nucleotides) under Penicillium sp. IA54042. RNAcentral describes it as "eukaryotic LSU rRNA". The stretch from base 169 to 322 matches the Rfam family "5.8S ribosomal RNA". Lineage: Eukaryota; Fungi; Ascomycota; Eurotiomycetes; Eurotiales; Aspergillaceae. The record is from RNAcentral.
GUCCGGGAUAGCUCUGGUCACCUCCACCCGUGUUUAUUUUACCUUGUUGCUUCGGCGAGCCUGCCUUUUGGCUGCCGGGGGACAUCUGUCCCCGGGUCCGCGCUCGCCGAAGACACCUUAGAACUCUGUCUGAAGAUUGUAGUCUGAGAUUAAAUAUAAAUUAUUUAAAACUUUCAACAACGGAUCUCUUGGUUCCGGCAUCGAUGAAGAACGCAGCGAAAUGCGAUACGUAAUGUGAAUUGCAGAAUUCAGUGAAUCAUCGAGUCUUUGAACGCACAUUGCGCCCUCUGGUAUUCCGGAGGGCAUGCCUGUCCGAGCGUCAUUGCUGCCCUCAAGCACGGCUUGUGUGUUGGGCUCCGUCCUCCUUCCGGGGGACGGGCCCGAAAGGCAGCGGCGGCACCGCGUCCGGUCCUCAAGCGUAUGGGGCUUUGUCACCCGCUUUGUAGGACUGGCCGGCGCCUGCCGAUCAACCAAACUUUUUUCCAGGUUGACCUCGGAUCAGGUAGGGAUACCCGCUGACUUAAGCAUAUCAUAGAGGCGGGAGGAAAGGUGAGGCCUCGGGAUCGACCCCCCCAACGUUGUGUGAUGUGGUGUAGAGCAGAAAUCUUGUAAGCUGGGAUGAUUCGUGGUGCGCGGUUCACAAUAUAGGAAUACGU